Molecule: long non-coding RNA, 1048 nt
Organism: Tupaia belangeri chinensis (Chinese tree shrew)
Lineage: Eukaryota; Metazoa; Chordata; Mammalia; Scandentia; Tupaiidae
Exons: 3
Source: RefSeq, a predicted model, not a curated record
AGUGCAGUGGGUGGUCCCAUGAUAUCUCAGUCUCUUUGAGGAAGAUCCUGGAAGAGAAGAGGAGGUGGCUGUCCCAGGAGGACAGCUUUCUGGCAGAGGGGCCUGUGCUGACCUCCCCACGCUGGGACAGAUUUCCUUGCUGGGCUCUGCAGAACAUCUGGGCUUGCUCCUACUGGUCACUGGCGACGCAAGGGCCACACACCUGCACGUGAUUAGGACUCAGCAGACGCCCACGGCCCUACAGUCAGCGGCUACACACUGGUGACACGUCGCAGAGGACAAGUUUCUCCCAGAUCCUUGUUCCUUCCAAUCAGAUGGGUGCAGGGCUGUGAGGUCAUGGGGCACAGUGCACCCAUACCACACCAAACACCACCCUCGGCGGAGAGCAGGGGAGGCCCCUCAGCCUCGACGUGCCUGGAAAGAGCAGGUGUCAGGGCAGACCCAGGACACCCUAGGACCAGGGAGGAAGCAGAGACAUCAGACUUGGCCUCCUUUGCAACUGUCACUGCAGGUCCUUUUAGACUCCUCUUCUGAGUGUUUGAGAAAUAGUAAAAUCUCAAAUGCCACUGCUGACUCUUCUUUCUCCCGCAAACACCCCUUCUCUGCUGAAUGUGCAAUCCUCUGACCACAGAAGGCUGGGGUAGGUCAGGUAGAGCUGAAACAUUGCCCGAGCACCGUUACGAUCAGGGCAUGACCAGAACUGACGCUGUCCAAGGGCAGAGUCGUCAAGGUUAUACGUUCAUUGUACCUGCCUAGUGAAUUGGCUGGAAGGAAAUGCGAUUUUCCUCCUCGUGAAAGAGACUUUUAUUUAGUAGUAAUAAAAUUAAUGCACUAAAAGAGAGCAGGCUUUCUUGACCUUUCACCAGACAGAAGAACUCACAUGACAGCCACAACUUGCAUUAACAUACGAGAUGAUCCUCAAAAAGCUCAUGGAAAAAUGCGUAUUAUGAAAACUCGACGCACAGAUGUCAGAGGAAACUGGUAUUGUUAGGACCAGCAGAUGGUGUAAUGGUUAUGUUGCUGCAUUCCCACGUGGCCGGCUGCAGUU